Molecule: ribosomal RNA, 449 nt
Filed under: uncultured bacterium
Lineage: Bacteria
Description: bacterial SSU rRNA
Rfam family: Bacterial small subunit ribosomal RNA
Source: RNAcentral
UCGAGAAUCAUUCGCAAUGGGCGCAAGCCUGACGAUGCGACGCCGUGUGAACGAAGAAGGCCUUCGGGUUGUAAAGUUCUUUCGCUGGGGAACAAGAGAGAGUACCUAAUAAGUACUUAAUUUGAGGGUACCCGGUAAAGAAGCACCGGCUAACUCCGUGCCAGCAGCUGCGGUAAUACGGAGGGUGCAAGCAUUAAUCGGAAUAAUUGGGCGUAAAGGACGCGUAGGCGGGAAUUUAAGUCAGAUGUGAAAUCCCAGAGCUUAACUCUGGAACUGCAUUUGAAACUGGAUUUCUUGAGGGUAGAUGGAGAAAGUAGAAUUCCACAAGUAGCGGUGAAAUGCGUAGAUAUGUGGAAGAAUACCGGUGGCGAAGGCGACUUUCUAAUUUACACCUGACGCUGAGGCGUGAAAGCAAGGGGAGCAAACAGGAUUAGAUACCCCGGUAGUCC